ACCUCUUAGUGGGGGAUAACGGUUGGAAACGACCGCUAAUACCGCAUACGCCCUUCGGGGGAAAGAUUUAUCGCUAAGAGAUGGACCCGCGUUGGAUUAGAUAGUUUGUGAGGUAACGGCUCACCAAGUCAGCGAUCCAUAGCUGGGUUGAGAGGAUGAUCAGCCACACUGGGACUGAGACACGGCCCAGACUCCUACGGGAGGCAGCAGUGGGGAAUAUUGGACAAUGGGCGCAAGCUUGAUCCAGCCAUGCCGCGUGAGUG
This 263-nucleotide ribosomal RNA is filed under the name uncultured Thalassospira sp. RNAcentral's name for it is "partial 16S ribosomal RNA". It matches the Rfam family "Bacterial small subunit ribosomal RNA", at positions 128 to 407 of the family's 1533-position model. Lineage: Bacteria; Pseudomonadati; Pseudomonadota; Alphaproteobacteria; Rhodospirillales; Thalassospiraceae. The record is from RNAcentral.